Molecule: ribosomal RNA, 420 nt
Filed under: bacterium enrichment culture clone ALO1_GLFRUDD03HBBBU
Lineage: Bacteria
Description: bacterial SSU rRNA
Rfam family: Bacterial small subunit ribosomal RNA
Source: RNAcentral
GAGUUUGAUCAUGGCUCAGAUUGAACGCUGGCGGCAUGCCUUACACAUGCAAGUCGAACGGCAGCACGGGAGCUUGCUCCUGGGUGGCGAGUGGCGAACGGGUGAGUAAUGCAUCGGAGCGUAUCCUGGAGUGGGGGAUAACGUAGCGAAAGUUACGCUAAUACCGCAUAUUCUGUGAGCAGGAAAGCGGGGGACCUUCGGGCCUCGCGCUCUUGGAGCGGCCGAUGUCGGAUUAGCUAGUUGGUGAGGUAAAGGACUCACCAAGGCGACGAUCCGUAGCAGGUCUGAGAGGAUGAUCUGCCACACUGGAACUGAGACACGGUCCAGACUCCUACGGGAGGCAGCAGUGGGGAAUUUUGGACAAUGGGGGCAACCCUGAUCCAGCCAUGCCGCGUGAGUGAAGAAGGCCUCGGUUGUAAG